This 21-nucleotide non-coding RNA is filed under the name Caenorhabditis elegans. The record is from RNAcentral. Lineage: Eukaryota; Metazoa; Nematoda; Chromadorea; Rhabditida; Rhabditidae.
UUUUCGAUAUGUACAAAUAAG